This 253-nucleotide ribosomal RNA is filed under the name uncultured bacterium. RNAcentral describes it as "partial 16S ribosomal RNA". It matches the Rfam family "Bacterial small subunit ribosomal RNA", at positions 524 to 776 of the family's 1533-position model. The record is from RNAcentral.
UACGUAGGGUGCAAGCGUUAAUCGGAAUUACUGGGCGUAAAGCGUACGCAGGCGGCUUUGCAAGACAGGUGUGAAAUCCCCGGGCCUAACCUGGGAACUGCAUUUGUGACUGCAUGGCUAGAGUCUGUCAGAGGGGGGUGGAAUUCCACGUGUAGCAGUGAAAUGCGUAGAGAUGUGGAAGAACACCGAUGGCGAAGGCAGCCCCCUGGGAUGAGACUGACGCUCAUGUACGAAAGCGUGGGAAGCAAACAGG